Molecule: ribosomal RNA, 223 nt
Filed under: uncultured bacterium
Lineage: Bacteria
Description: partial 16S ribosomal RNA
Rfam family: Bacterial small subunit ribosomal RNA
Source: RNAcentral
ACGCUCGACACCUACGGGAGCAGCAGUAGGGAAUCUUCCACAAUGGGCGCAAGCCUGAUGGAGCAACACCGCGUGAGUGAAGAAGGGUUUCGGCUCGUAAAGCUCUGUUGUUGGAGAAGAACGUGCGUGAGAGUAACUGUUCACGCAGUGACGGUAUCCAACCAGAAAGUCACGGCUAACUACGUGCCAGCAGCUGCGGUAAUCUGGAGCGGGCUGGCAAGGC